CCUACGGGAGGCUGCAGUGGGGGAUAUUGCACAAUGGGGGCAACCCUGAUGCAGCGACGCCGCGUGGGUGAAGAAGUAUUUCGGUAUGUAAAGUCCUAUCAGCAGGGAAGAAAGAAGACGGUACCUGACUAAUAAGCCCCGGCUAACUACGUGCCAGCAGCCGCGGUAAUACGUAGGGGGCGAGCGUUAUCCGGAUUCACUGGGUGUAAAGGGCGCGUAGACGGCCGUGCAAGCCAGGAGUGAAAGCCCGGGGCCCAACCCCGGGACUGCUCUUGGAACUGUGCGGCUGGAGUGCGGGAGGGGCAGGCGGAAUUCCUGGUGUAGCGGUGAAAUGCGUAGAUAUCAGGAGGAACACCGGCGGCGAAGGCGGCCUGCUGGACCGCGACUGACGUUGAGGCUCGAAAGCGUGGGGAGCGAACAGGAUUAGAUACCCUGGUAGUC
This 441-nucleotide ribosomal RNA is filed under the name uncultured bacterium. Its description in RNAcentral is "partial 16S ribosomal RNA". It matches the Rfam family "Bacterial small subunit ribosomal RNA", at positions 338 to 795 of the family's 1533-position model. The record is from RNAcentral.